AAUUGUUCAACUCGCAAGCGAACACAGCUACCGACAUCCACGUGUUUGUGUGAGCACUAACACAUCACACGGAUAUAUUCCUUUUUUUUUCUCAUUCACAGCCUCACCUCAUCUUUUGCCGGGGUACUUCUGUUGUUGUAUACACACACACACACACACGACACACUGUUUCUCACACAACUACUUCUAUCAAAGGCAAGCGACCGGAAAUGCCGAGGGGAGCUAUCCCAACAGGCCAGGACUGGGAGGAGCAGCGCUUCAACUUCCAGCAGCGCGGCGGCGGCGGCUCCGCUCAGCCUCGCAAAGUGACGGAGCGCGAUGCCAACCGUGCAGUGCAAAGCGGCCAAAACGUGCAGGUGCAGCGGAAGGAACAUCAGCGUUUCAACCAGCAGGCCGUCAGCGCGGGGGCGAACGCGAAGAAGCUCGACGAGGACAACGAGACGCUGAAGGUAAAGAAGGUGGAUCCGCACCUCCGCGUGCGUAUUAUGAAGGAGCGCCAGGCUCUGAACUGGUCGCAGCAGGAUCUGGCCCAGCGCAUUUCUGAGCGUGUGUCCGUAGUGGCCGAGUACGAGAGCGGUAAGGCGGUGCAGGAAGAGCGAGUUAUUGUGAAGAUGGAGAAGGCGCUCGGCGUGCACUUGCGCGGCGCCAAGGCUGGCGAACCGAUGGGCAAGACUCGUCCUACUCCGAAGCCUCAGGAGUAGGCGGACGAAAUGAAGCACGCGCUUCUCUCUUUCCGGCGGCAGCACCGCCCUGCCGGCUGUCGGUGACCGCGCACUGCAUCACCCUAGUUCUGACCUGCGAGCUGGCGUGAGGGAGCCGAAUAAGACGAAGGACGAAGACAGAUUGGCGAGAGCGACCAUAUGAAGCGUUCGUCUUGAUCGAGUCUCUUCCUCGUUGCGUGUGUGUGAACGCGUGCAUGUCGUGGUUUACACGAAAAAAAAACAAUAGGAGGCGAGAACAGCGAAAUGCGCCCACGAAGUCUUCAACGUGAACGGAGCAAACGAGACGAAAAGAAGUCCGCGGCCAUUCGGAGUCGAAUAAAAAGUGGACGCUGACGCGCUGCUGAGGCCUUUCGCUCCCUUCCACUUUUUUUUUCACGGCCGCUCUCUCUCUACGUAUCUGUGUUGUUCUCAUUUCGCUCUGAAGACGAGCGAAUACCGUGCUCAGCGCCCCGUGAGUGCGCGCGCAAUCAUUGUGGGAGGCGAGGAGACGCGUGUGCGAAGAGAGGAGAGGAGCGAGAGUGGGCGGAGACUUUUUGUGCGCUGGAGAGCGAAAGUGACGUUCUGCCUUC
This 1291-nucleotide unclassified non-coding RNA is filed under the name Leishmania donovani. Its description in RNAcentral is "gene:LdHU3.19.0190(CDS-product:Multiprotein-bridg ing_factor_1_putative)". The record is from RNAcentral. Lineage: Eukaryota; Euglenozoa; Kinetoplastea; Trypanosomatida; Trypanosomatidae.